UACGUAGGGGGCAAGCGUUGUCCGGAUUUACUGGGCGUAAAGAGCGUGUAGGCGGCCACGCAGGUCCGUUGUGAAAACUGGAGGCUCAACUUCCAGCCGUCGACGGAAACCGUGUGGCUAGAGUCCGGAAGAGGAGAGUGGAAUUCCUGGUGUAGCGGUGAAAUGCGCAGAUAUCAGGAAGAACACCCGUGGCGAAGGCGGCUCUCUGGGACGGUACUGACGCUGAGACGCGAAAGCGUGGGGAGCGAACAGG
RNAcentral lists this ribosomal RNA (253 nucleotides) under uncultured bacterium. RNAcentral's name for it is "partial 16S ribosomal RNA". It matches the Rfam family "Bacterial small subunit ribosomal RNA", at positions 524 to 776 of the family's 1533-position model. The record is from RNAcentral.